UCUUUUUUCUACAACUUUUGGAUCUGCUAUUUGCAGUUGCUCUGAAAUUUUUGUCUAUUGAAUUAGAAGUUGCUCUCUGGUUUCAAGACUCUUCCUUCCUUUCCUUUGCUAAAAUUUGGUCUAAUUAAAAAAACAGUAGAUCAUAGUUAAAUAAAACUGUACCCAGGAUAACCCUAAUUUCCAUAUGCAGAUUUAUCUACACUGACAGCCACCCCCCUUACACACACACACUCUCUUUCUCAUUCUCCUUUCCCUCCUCUCCAUCUCCCUAUUGCAUUGUGUCUGACUGAUUUUCAGAGCACCUUCGCUGUUUCCCCCUUCUCGUUCCCUUCCCAUAAAAUAUCUAGACAGGAAGGAGGUGGCUGCAGAGGCUGAACAAUCUCAUAUUCUGCCUGCAAUGUCAUCGUUUCUUUCCCCCAUUUUAGGGGGAUGAAGUUGCCCAGCAAGGGUUGCAGAGAAGCUGGAAAGGAAGGGGGGAGCUCUCCAGAGGCAGCUGCGGUCAGGGGCAGGGACUGCCGCCAGAUGUGCCUGCCUUUCUGAGCUUUGAUGGGAAAGGGGCAGCAGGAGGAAAUAUUGGGAGACAAAAGCCCCGGUUUAAAUGAUCAUUUUCUUUAUUUAACAUGGCAGCAGACACUCUCUGCGUAGGAUCAUCAUGCCGAGCAUAAACUGGACUUUCCCACUUGCCUGGCAGGAGUCAGACAGAUCCCUGUGUGCUAAAUGAGCAUCUGAGGUUUGAGAUGGGGCCCAAGACGCUUUUCGGACAAGUUUCCUGGUGAUGCAAUAUCGAUGUUUGAGAAACCUCCAUUUGCCUGACUAUGGGAGAUAGAACUCGUUUGACUCUGACUUCUCCUUGAGAAAUAGUGACAACAAAAAGACACUACUUCCCUCUGAAUCAGUCCAGAUGUCCUUGGCGUGUACACCCUGUGGAAUCUGGUUCAUCUCCAAUCUGUCAGAAGGCAUCAGAGGUGGUUUUGACUUCUUAUGUCUUGGACCUAUGCACAAAAAGUACCUUGUGUGGAGGAAAAUGAGAUCCUGAGUGAAGUCUACAAUGUCAUUGACUCUGAAGAAGGACUCAGAGACCCAUUGGUGUUUAAUGACCCUUACUGGCCUAUGCAAUGGAAACUGCUGCAGUCAUGUCAUUGAUACAACUUCUGAUCCACACCUCAUGCUCCUUCUUUUCAAAGAAGCCACCCAGUUGUUACCUACUUCAGGUUGAAAGUCACAUUUGAUGGCAAGAUGAUCCUGUACCCAACUAGGAGAGCUUCUGCAGCUCUCAUGAGUUGAUCCUGUUCCCCUCAACUGAACAGAAAGGUAUGUUGUUGCAUCAUUGAUAAAGCAACAGAAUUUCAUAGCACCUUGGUUCAGGAUCUGUGUGUAAGUUAAAGGUGAUGGAGAUAUCACCAAAGAGAUUAAAAACAAAAGCCUCAUCAAUAGUCUAUAAUGGCUUGCCUUACAAAAUUAAGGCAAAAUCAAUAAGUAUUAAUGUCAGACUUCUAUAUCUUUGUGAAAUUGUCUAAAAAUGGCUGGGUGUUUUCCUAUUUAGUUUAAUUCAGCAAACUCCUUUACUAUGAAUAACUAUUAAUAUUACCAAAUCAAUUCAAGAAACCCUUACAGAUACUUGCUUUAAAAACUACUUUUGCAGAAAAUAGUUUUUACUUAACAAAGAUUUCUCUCAUACCCUACAGUAGCAAUUAUUUAACAUGCUAGAUAGUUCCUUAAAAUUGACUUUGGCUCUUCUUUUUAAAGAGAGUAUUACUACAUCAUUCAGGUAGGAAGAAUGUGAUUAAGGGGAAAAUAUUUCAGAAGUUAUUGAUUUUUAUAUAAUAAUUAAAACUAAGUGCUCACCAAUAGAAUAAUACUAUAAGUAGAUAGACCAAAAAUCUGUUUGCUAGAAAGAACCUAGAUUUAUUCCUAUUGUGAGAGAGUGGUCAACAGGGACCCCUUUUAUUCACAAAGGUUUGCAUUUGGAUGAUAAACCUAUAAACCAAAGUAAUGGAUUUCUAAAUCAGGUUGUCCCAUAUUCAGAGUAUGUCAGAGUGGGAUAUUACUUGGCAGUAUGUUGCCAUUUGUUCUGCAGAGGGAGACACUGAGGAACAGGAUUUCAUUCUGAAAAGAAUCUAAGACUCAAACCUAAAUAUUCAGAUAACUCUUCUGUGUCUUUUCCAGUAAAAGACUUUUAAACUUUUCAUUAAAAAAAUAUAAGGUCCACUUGCAUGGUGACUUUUUUUAUUUAAUCAUUUAUUUUUAUCUCCAAUAGUUUGUUCUAAAUAAAAUCAAAAUAUCAAGUUAAUUCAUUACAAAAUUUUUAAUCACCUGAAUUGAUAAAAUUAAGAAUGAUCUAGUAAUCACAUUAACUAAUAAGUUCAUUCUCACAUCAACCUUCUGAGUUAGGUAGUAACAUUUUAUAGACAAGGAAACAGAUCUGGAGAGGUGGAGUAUGUUAAGAUGACACACAAAGAAGAAGUUGGGGAUAGACUCAAUAUGCAAAGAUGGCUGGAUGCAAGAGCUUCCAGGAUGUACUGACUUAUGUAAGCACAACCUUGACAUAAACUUUAAAGCCUAAGAUAUGCUGUUUAUUUUGAUCUCAUUCUAGAAAUAUGUUUGAUGCCAAAAUAGGUUCCUAUGGACAGAAAAUGACCAAACUGUUUAAUAGUAACUCCUAUGUUUUUAAUGUUUUUCAUUGACGUUUUAUUGUUCCAUUUUAUGUUCCUCAUUCUUUUUUAAACAUGGAUGGAUUUAAAUAAUUCACAGAACAAUAAGUCAUGUUCCUGCAGAGUGAUCAAUUAGCACACUUGAUAAACACACUGGGAAUUCAGACAUAAGAUAGCCAGCCUUGGAGUAUUCUUUAUUAGAGAGUGAAAAACAUUUAAUGGAUCAACCUGUACAUCUUCAGUGUUGUAUGAUGAAUAACAUUUAAGCAUCAUGUUUUUGAGAAUCAACUUUAGGAAAUGCAUUGAGAACCAAUUUUAGGAAUUACAUCAAAAGUAAACUUUGGAACUUACCCCAAGGCCUGAAGUUGCCCUGCAAAAGAAAAAGCUACUGAUAAAACAUGAACCAACCAAACAAACAAAAAAAUCAUUUCAUCAAUUAAUUAAUUAAAGCAUUAAUUGUCAUUGACUUCUCUUACCAUAGUUUCUCUAUUUAAAAACCUUGACAUAGAUAAUAAAUUAUGUUCCACAUCAUAAGUUUUUUAUGAGGUUUGAUAGGACACUAUAGGCAAUGGAGCAUUUUAAGUUAAGGUAAUCUUUAAUGAUUCAAGUAGAUUCCUCACUAUUUCAUAAAUUUUUACCAAAAUUUCAUGGAAAAUAAAUUAAUACUAUUUCAAGCAUAUAUGGAGUCAAAAUAUAGUUUUAGUAUUGCUAUUUUUAAUAUUCUUUUAGUGAAUGUUAAUUCAGAAGUAUCUUUUACACUUCCAAAAAGUAUACAUAUUUUUAUGGCCUAUAAGUGAAAUGCUUUCUGAUAUUAGGUGGAUACGAGUACAAGUUUCAUAGAAUUUAAAAAGCAAAGGAAUCCCUUUCUCAUUUCAGUAUUUGUGCUUUCAGAACGAUUCCUUGAUUUCACAUAAUAGCCUCUGUUGUAGGUUUUCUGAAAGGAAAUCUAUAUGUGUCGUUAAAAAACAAAAGUUUUAUUUUUCAAAAGACUAAUUAAUCCAAAGUCAAGUUUACCAAGCUCCAUAAUAUUCCUCCUUGAGCUGACUAGUCACCCGCUUUACCCAGGGGUAUAAAGAAAACAAAGUGCGGAGGGGGAAGUCUAAUUUUUUUAAAAAGACAUAUUCCCUUGUUGUGAACCAAUGUUAUCAGUGCUUCUCUCAGACUCUGGGAGUAUGUGUGUGUGUGUGUGCUUCCUGUAGGUUUUCCCCAAGGGAGUGCCAAAGCAGAAGGCAGAAAGCUGCUAAGGACAGAAUGCUCUAAAGAUCCUGCUCCACCUGAGCCCUGCUCUCUGCCACUGCUGAACUUUUAGGCACAGCAGUGAGCCCUGUGCCCUGCAAGGACCUUUCAGAUUAGGUAGGUGAGGGUCUUUGAGAAUAAAUCUUGAGCAGAUAGAAUUUGCAGCCUGCAAAUAUAACUAUCUACGUUCAUCAUCUGAAGGCUGUCAAUGUGUAUUACCAAGGAAAAAGAAGAAAACGGCUUACUCUGCAAAACUUCUGUACAGGAAAAUGUGUGAAAUGGAAGGUACUUGAAGUGAUGUGCCCAUUAUGCAUUCUGGAAUCAGGCACUAUGUGAAAAGAUACAUCUCCUGCAUGCCCUGUCCUUUCAUAAGGGUCUCAGAGUAGCCCUGAGGAUGAGAGCAUCCUUCCAACCUAUUUAUCUAAUGAGUUGGCCAUCCUAAAUAUUUACCAUAACAAUAUGGCAAGCAUUGCAAGGGUUAACUCACUGUCUAUUAGCCUUUCUCAGCACUUUCCUCUUUGUUGGGGUGAGUUUAUUUGUGUAAUCUGAAGAAUGUGUCCGCCUCUGCUCUGGACACAUUGGCUCUGGACCACACCCAGACAAGCGUGUAGAAGGGAUCUACGUUAGCUGAUACCCUGAGUGUACAGAUUUGUAGCUUAAAUGAACAUUAUUUCUGCAAAUCAUUUCAAAUGUGUUGUUUAGUUAAGUUCUCUUCCCUUUUCUUCUUUUUCUGUGGAUGUAAUGGUGUCAUUUUAUCUCCACCCAGGAACUUGUGUCAACAGCUCCCUCCUCGGACCAUUCACUAGAGUUGCAAUGUCACCGUGUCAGAACCUUGCUUUUGUUUUUGUUUUGUUUUAUUUUAAAUCUGGAAUUUUUUUACUACUGUGCAUCACCCCUUCCCUUCGAUGUCUAUUCUUAGCUAAGCUCCUACUCAUUCACACUGAGUACACACAAUCAGCAGUCCCAUGUGUCUGGAUUGGCGUAUCAAUUCCUUUCUGCUCCCCUUGGCUGGUUGGGGCUCUCUUUGUUACUGAUUUAUUACUCACUUUCUUAUGUUCCUUAAGAGCAGAACUAUCAAACUUUGUUUUCUCUAAAAUUUGAUUAUAUUAGUAAUAUGGAAGACUCAUAUUAGUGUGUGCAUAUCUUUAAUUUUUCAUUUUGUUGUCGUUUGUUUGUUUUUUAAACAUUUAGGACCAGAGUUGAGUAUUUCCUAUUAAAAACCUGUUGCAUCUAUUGGUGUAAACGCUUUAAGGCUGACCCUGAUUGUAAGAUUAUCUGAUGACAAAGUAUGGACAUGCCUCCUACACUGAACCUUUAGCAGAAUAGUUUCAAGAUUGUUUUCAUUUAUUGUCUGUUGAGUAAAGCCACAGGGAAAUGUCAAAGUAGUACUCAAUGCCAUGUUAUACUAGUUUUAAGCACAGGGUAAUUUUUAAUUUUUUAUUGUUGGUACAGCUACCAGUGUGUGUUUUUCUUUAUUCUGUCUUUACAUCAUAUAGUUUUAUUUUCUUCUUCUGUAUGUUUGUGGCCCUUUGAUUGCCAAAUCUUUUCUUGCUUUGUGAUUUGGACGAAAUGCAUUGCUUAUCUGCUAGGGUUCUCUCAUCAGGUUUUCUUUAAGCCUUGGGAUUUUUCCUCAUUUCCUUUGUCCCAAUACAUGAAUCAGAAUGGGAGUGUCUCUGCAGGAGGGGAGGGAGAGGAGACUGGGCUGAGUAGAAGAAAAAUCUGCUUUCAGAAAAGACGCUGUUUCUUGAGGGGGUCAGACCUGAGGGAAAGUAUUGAAAGUCUAGCAAACUCAAGAAUAUUUUCCUCCCUUCCCCCAGCUCCAACCCCUAACGCAGGGGUGAUUCAAUAUUGACUGUCGUGUUAUCCACUGGAGAAUUUUACUAAUAAAAUUAUAUCCCUGCUCUAUUCAGGGUAAGUUUACAUGUUGUCACAAUGAUAUACUUUAUUCUGAUUUUAUUAUUAAGCUGUCUCAGCAAUUCAUUUGAAAUAUAGUCAUCAUGUUUGAAAACUAACAAAGUUUUAAUGGAAGAUAGUGAAAUUUUUAUACAAAAUAGAUUUCUUCCAUGACAGGUUGUUAUUAGCUUGGAAUACCCAGUGACAAAUCAGGUAGUGUAAUACUAAGACAUUUAACAGCCUUUAUGGUUUUCAUGAGUACAGCUUAAAUUAUUGUCUUUUGCAUUGUAUUCUAAAUGUAGAAAUAAUAUAGAAGAUAUGUACGGUUUAUCAAGUGAUGACCAGUGGCAUAUUGCAUCUUGUUUAGAGAGUCAGCCGUCUUGUCUUAUUGGGAAUAUAUAGUUUAACAAGACACUUGCCAUCAUUUCCUUAACAGGGAUAAUAAACAGAACAAUUCUGCAUAAAAGCUCAUAUCAGCUUCUUUCAUGCCUUUUCUUUUCAGAAGGCUGCCUAAGGGUUUAAGCAAUUUACUGGUCUGACCCGCAUCCUUUCUCUGCAGUCUGCGGUUCUUUUGUUUAACAUUAGUAUGUGGGCAAACAGCAUUCUGCUCUGUUCAGAGCUUAUCAGCCCGCGUUCAGUCGACCGGAACCCCAUUCUAUGUAUCUAAGCGGGGCCACAUUUAAUACUUCACAGUGGGAGCAUCUGCAGUUUCCAAAAAUGACUUGUUUAUCAGAUAAACUCUGUCCUUACACUGACAGAUGUGGUGGAUGGUGGAUCUCCAGUAUCAUACCUCUCUAAUAUAGGCUUGUACAAAAUAUGGUAUGCUGAGGGACGGUGAGACCCACAGGCUAGAGUCAUGACAAGAAUCAUUUAUGUAGACACUCUCCAACUUCACUCAGAAUUUACUUAUAGGAUAUGAUGGGGAAGAGGCAACUCUGUUUCUCUUUUGAUAACUAAUUCUCAUGUUACUAAAGUGGUAAGUAGAAGGAAGACAUUUUCACUGUUAAUCUAACAUUUUAUGAUUUCAUUGGUAAACACUGUAAGGUAUUUUAGUGCCAGGGUCUGACAAAAGCCAGGAGCCUGAGGGGGCUGACUGAAAUGUUGAUCAUCACGAACCCAAUGGUACCAGGGUGUUAGAAAAUUAGAAGUGGUCUUAGGAGACUUAUCUGCCAUUAACCCAAGAUCAUGCUAAUCUAGUCUGUUAACUCAAGAUGAUCUUUUCUUUAAAUUUUUAUUAGAAUUUCAUGAAGUUAUUUUAAACAUAUUGAAGAACUAUAAAGCCCUGCUUCUAAUCACAAUCCCAUUUGAGAUUUUAUACUGUAGGCAUAUAGUAGUAUGCAGUUAUUUUGAAAGCAUUGCCAGUCUUUAUGAAUGUAUGUAUAUAUGCAUACUUAUGCAUAUACAUACACGUAUAAUACUUCUAAAAAUAAACAUUUGUUUAUCGAUAGAAUGUCCUAAUAUUGUAUUUGUUCUCAACAAAAUGAAUUAAAGGAUUUUUUAAAAUAUACAUUUUUGAGACUUAUUCCCAAAAGAACUCCAGUUAUGAUAGAAUAAUCUGUACCUUACCCUGACAUCUGAGUAUUUCUGAGGUAACAGCCCAAAGUGAUGUUAAGAAACACAAGUAUGAACAACCUAGUGCCUUACCAAGAGGAUCAUUGUCACAGAACAGGAGCUAAUUUAAACUGAUAUGUUUUGAUCCUUAAUGCAAUUCACAUUGCUUGUACUACUCUUAUAAUUUAGCACAUAUGUUACAUUUUUGCUCCUACCUAUAAUUACUCUUUGUAUUAAAGGAUUUUCCCCCUAAUUAUUUCACUACUAGUAUCCCCUUUCACCUCUCAGCUCUCUGCUAAUUAAAUACUUUUAAACAUGUCUUCGUUAUUAAUUGUGAAGUGUUGCCAUAAUCAUAUGAUAUAAUAAUUAUUUGGAAGACCAAUUUUUAAAUUAAUAACUUAAACUUUCAUAUUUUCAAACAGUAAUUAAGGUAAUAUGUAGACCAAAACAUAUAAUAUCAUAAAUGGCAUCUAUGAAGCCUAUGUGGUUAAAUCAUAGGCAAAGUACAACAUUAUUCUUAACAAUAUUAUAAUUAACAUAAUAUACAAAUUGGCAUAAUUCUAGAAAGCACAAUGAUAUAUUUUUGCUUCCAUCUUAAUUUCCUAUAGGAUUUAAUGCCUUCUUAAAUGUGUAAUUAAAUGUAUCCAUGUAGUGUAUGGGCAGGCUUAUCAAAGAAGCAACCAUUAAGAAAUAUAUUCAAUAUCAGACUAGAAGACAUUUGUGUGCCUUCCCUACUCUCACUAAUGUGUGCUAGCCAACUGUUCAUGCAGAAAUUGUAACUGUUAAUGAAGGUUAAAAGGAAAUUUUAAAUUAGAUGUCAUCUUUUGACUAAGGUACCUCAAGUGUUAUAUUCUGUCUAAUAUUUAUUUUCUAUCUUGCCUCUUGCUCUUAACACAACCCAGCACUUAAAGAAAUAAUAAUUAUUACGAUAGUUUUUCAAACAAAACACACUCCCACCCAUUCCUGGCCCAGCACAUUUCCUGAGUCUAACAUUUCUGAUUGCUCACUGUUUUUCCUAACACUAGAUCCCUUAUGUCAUAUGCCUUGUAUGGCUGCAGACUUUGGCCUUUUCACCUGCUGUUUUGGUUGGCUUUAGAUGCAAAGAGAAGACUAUGAAAAAGAGAAAGGGGGAGGGAGGGAAGUUUGGAAGACUGAAGCUAAAAAAAAAUGGCAAAUGUUUUUAGCGCCUUCAUCUAGACAUGUGUCCCCUCACUCUGUGACAUGGCUGCUCCAAUGUUGCCAUGGUGAGGAUUUCUAAUCAUCCCUACACAUGACAGGCUCCUAUUUGUCUGCACUCCCUUGGGUGUAAAUUUCUAGGCUUAAAAAAAAAAAAUCCAUGUGAGCGUAUCAUCCGCCGUGCAGAUGUUUCACUGCUUUAGAAUAUCAGGCAGCUGCUUGUGCCACCGUAGACAGCUAAUUGGAGACUGCAUCGUAGGAACAGAGGCGCAAUUAUGGCAUAAAUACACAUCCUCUGGUGCAUCAUUGUAUCUCUAUUAACAGAAAAUUUUAAACAGUGCUCAGAGUGUAAUUAGUGUAGUUGAUAAAGUUGUAAAACAUGUAAAUAAGGGAAAUAGCAGGUACGUGGCCAAUCCACUAUCCAGCACUAGGGGAUGCAGAUUAUUGCCUAUUUAGAAAUAAUUAGCAAAGCUGCAUUAGCAAAGCCUGUGUCCAACAGAAGCAAGGCAAACAUUUAUUCUGGUAACAGCUCUUUCUGUGCUAGCCAUGAAAAUCUACUAAUAUUGGUAAUUUAGCCCUCAUUACCAGAGGAUAAAGCAUGAAAAGAGCUCAGACAUGAAAUAUGACAAGUAAUAUUAAUUUUUAUUCCAGAGGAAAGGAUGCUUCCUUGGGUUGCAUGCUGAUUUCUCGGCAGGGUCUCAGCAGUGCGUGCGGAGGAGGCGGUGGGUAGCUGGUAGUUGAGAAUUCAGGAUACGGAGCUGACUCCCUGCUGGAGGUAUACCCUGGGGUGGCUAUGACAGUGGCUGAUGAGGCAUGCCACUGUUAGUGCCAAGCCAAACCUCAGGUCACAGUUCAAAACAAGCACUCAGCCAUUAAACUUCAGUCCUUAUGGACCUUGGAGAGUUUAUGUCCUCAUUCCUACUUUUUUCCACCCUCCCAGCCCCUUUUCUCUUACUCUCUGGCAUUUUUUUUCUCCCUUGGAAUGAUUUUGCAGAGCUAUACAAUCAGAUUGAUUUUUGUGCUUGCACCGCCCUUUUCAACGUGCUUCUGAUAAUGAGCUGCUGUUGUUGAAGUGGAGAGUGUGGGCGGGGUGGUUUCAGCUGCAUCUUAGCUAUGUCGUGUGCUCAGGAUAAGAAAUGAUCCUCUGGCUCAUAUACAUUGAAGAUUGUGUCACUGAAGAAUAUCACCUUGUGGCCGGGAAUCAUGAAUGGCAAAAAUUUGAAGCUUGUUUCACAAAUACUUUUCCUAAUGAAGAAAAAUGCAAAAGCACUGCUAGUUCCCCAAACCUCAAUUAGUUUUCCAGACAGUGGGAUAAAAAGGCAGAAUAUUUGUGGAAGAGCCACCUUUCUUGUACGAAUCUCUGGAUGUUACCUUGUUCUUUGUUUUAUUCUUAAAGCAUAACAAAUGGCAAAAAAAAUUAAGAACCAAGCCCAUGAAGCUAACCAUAUUUUGUGGCAUUUAUAUCAUUUACCAUUAUCUCCUUAUUUUUGUUACAUACAGGUACUGCUGCUUUUUACAUGCUUCUAGGAAUACAUACAUGGAGUCCACUUCCUGAAUUUUCUAAUUGAGCCUCUAGGAAAAAGUUAUUAGCCAGUAGCAAACUAAAUUUCCACUCAGGGCAGUCUGAGUUUCACAGUAUGUUCACAAUGUCACAGAACGUUGUGCCUUAAAAAAAAAAAAAGGUUGAAUAUUUUAGAACAUAACGAAAAUGGUACAUUCACAAACACAUUGAAAUAAAGAGUGUUCACCUUCUUUUUCAAAUAUGAAAAUUGAGAAUCCAGAUUCUAUCUUCAGAGGUUGUAGACAUUUACCACCUCUGGUGAGUUGUCUCCUAUCCAGGGAAUAUUGAAAAUGACAGUACUGGAGUUCGCUACUACUACAGUUUAGACCAGUGCUAACAAUGAGUUGUAAGUCACAUGCAAGUACUAAUCAAUAUUUGUAGGGCAUGGACAUGCACAAAAUGCAAAUGUGCACACUUACAUAAAUACAUGUGAUACCCCUCCAUACCCAGAACCCACACUGUGAUAUUGUACUGCAGGUUCUGAAUUAUGAGGUUGUAUUUCAUCCCUUUUGCUUCCCACUUCUGAACCAAAAGUACAACUCUGACCAGGCAUGAAAGCAUUCUUUCUUCAAUUUAGCAUACCCUCUUAUCCACAAUGAGUUGAGAUUAGAACAAUUGGAACCAGAUGACCCGAUUAAAGCUCUAGUUUUAAAAAGUUCCAGUGCCCUCAGUUUUCUCAAUUGUGAAAUUAAAACUCUCUCCCUGUCUACCUUAUAUGGUUAUUAAUAGAACCAAACAAUGCAAUACAUAUAGAAAUAUGUAGACUGUAGACUGUAGAUAUGACCAAAAUUAGUAUUUCCAUGGUUUUCUCACUAGACAGUUAUUACUAUGUCACUAUCACCUCAGAAUCACACUUGGACAUUUGCCUGUGUUUUAAAAGGAAGCACAAAUAAGCUCAGAUAACGUCAUAAAAUUUUUCUCUGAUUGUGUCUGUACAGUGCCAAAACUGCUGAUUCAUAAAUGAAAUUGCAGUCAACCAACCAGAUGUUUAUUCUACAGGAUGCCAAAUUGCCACUUUUACUUUAAUUUUUAUCCAAGAAACUUACACUAUCUGUAUGGAAAUUGUAUGAAUACUGCAUUCAUCAUUUUUAUUUGAAAUCCAUGUGAAGAAUCUCAUGUACUUUUCAUAUACCUUAAGCACGCAUAGCUUCUUGCUUAUCGGAGGUACAUUUUUCAUAUUCUGCAAAGUGAACAACACCCUGAGAGUCGCCUAGAGGAAAGUUAUGCCCAACUUGCAGAGUUUUCCCAAGGGAAUCUGCCAGAGGAGUCUACUCCUAGAGAGUCCUUGUUAAGAGAAAUCCCAUGUAGAACAAAGCUCUGAUUAGAGUUAUCGCAGUUGUUUUAACCCCUUGUAGGAAAAAAAAAAUAGUUGCAGAGAUCCCUAUUUUCCCAGUUUCCUCCAUUGGCUUCUGGUGUUUGACAAACAGUUCCCAUUUGGAGACAUUAUGCUGUUCCUCUCUACUCCAGCAUCAUGCCCACUGCCUUUACUAAGUUGGCACUGAAACAGCAACCCUUGCCAAGAUCUAUGCAAGAGCAGGAAGGACUGAAAGGGAACAUGAAGCAAAAUGAUCCCUAAUUCAAGUGAAUUGUUGUUACCUUUCUUCACAUAUUCCUUCUCCCCUCCCUUAUUGUUCUCAUCUCAAAAGAGAGGAAAUAGGUUCCAAAUCAGACCACAAAGAGGAUCUUCAGAAUCAAGUUAAAUUGGAGCACAAGGAUUGGGGCUGAUGGGAAUAUGGAUUUGCAAGGUGCCAAAGCCUGAUCUAAUUUACAUCCAUUUGCUGAUUUCCAGCCCUUUGGCAUCUUUUGAAAUGGCAUUUCAUUGUGGAGUUCUUGUAACCAUAUAUUUCAUAUAUGUUGUUUUGAGCUUUAUUCAAACAUAUAUUUUAUAUAUUUUAUUUAGAGCAGGAUGGAUGGACAGUGAAUUCUAUGUGCCAAGUAUUUAGACUAGUUUUAUAAUUUCUCUGCUGCUUCUCCGAGCAGCUUUCUCCAAAGGGGCCUGUAACUCAUAAUCACAGGGGCUGUUUGUGAAUAUAUUUCUCUGGGUCAGAAAUUUUGCCAGCACUGACAGGCACCCCGGACAGCUUUUCAGAAAUCUCCUGGUUAUUACUCAUCCAUUAGAAAGAAAAAAAUGAUAUUUUGCAUCAGGAGUUGUUUCUCUCCCCCUCUCUCUUUCUUUUAAAUUAUAGAAAUAAAGUGCCCAUUGUAAAUCGUUCAUGCUGGUGGACAAUAUUGCAUGCAGAUCAGGCACACAGCCCAUUGGAUGGGAAUGGUAUGGGGGUGGGGGAAGUCUUUGUGAAUGAGUAGGCAUGAGAGGGAUACUGAAAUGUUUUAGUCAGGUCAAAAAUAGCUCAUUAGUGGGUAGGAAAGCUAGCUGCUCAUCCUUUAGGGUGGAAAAAGCCUAACUCAUUUACUUCAGGAGUUUCUUAUUAAGUUGUUUUAGUCUUAAUGAUAAAAACUUACAUUUCUUCUUCAUAUAUUUGCAUUUACUGUAAUGCAGCUUAAUGGCUAAACAGAUCUUGAAAAUAACAAUAAUUAUAAUAGUUGAUAUCCCAAAUGAGAUUAAAAAUUUUUUUUCUCUGAACUUGAAAAGUAGAGUUUGGAAUAGCUAGAAUUCAAACACAAUGAUAAAAAAAAAAAGUGAGUAUUUAUUCUCAGUGUUCUUAAUAUUAGGGAGAAGUUAAAGUUUCUUCUUGGAAAUAUGAAAUUAACUUUAGCUUUAACAUUAGGGCUCCCUCUUUCCAACCCUCUCUCCCCUCACCCCCUUCCAUAAUGACAAUGGUUGGGAAAACACAGGACAAAGAAGAUUAAAUCAGAAUGUCAAGUUUCUUCCCAAGAAAUUUACCAGAGAACAAUAGGAGAUCUGAUAGUAGAAGAGCAAAAGAUAAUUCUGUAAUCACAAUGAUUUUCGAGAACAAAACUCCUUCUGAUAAAUUUAUUUUGAAAGAAUAAUCAGAUGUCUCCUAGAAUUGCAAAUAUUGUCGAAUCCAUCAGAGACAGAAAAAAACUUUUAAAAGUCCUCAAUUCCCUAUGUAUAGAUGAAAAAAUAUGCAAAUGUGGAAGAAAGCUGAAUAACACAUAAAAGUAAUAGAAGGCAGGUAAAAUAACAACAUGUAUCAUGUGAAAGGCCAUAUGUUCAUUUUAUGUUUCUCUCGUCUUCAUCUUUAUUUUUUCUGAGUUCAUUAAAUAAGCUUUUUUCCCCCCUUGUCAAAAGUUGGUCCAAUAAAGAGCAUUCUUUAAAGUUCUAGUUUAUUAUCAAAACCUCAAAGUGAAGUACUUUUGGUUGUUCUGGGUACAUCUGGUUGGUAAAAAUGAUAACUGAAUUGUUCAACGUCAAGCAAAGGGUUGUUGCUUGAUGACUGCAUGCUUCUGAUCAAAAUUUAUUAUCAUACAUUUAUUGGGCAUUGAUUUGGUACCAGGCACAAUUCAAAGCCCACAAGUAAUGAAUUGAUGAAAUAAGCUGCUCAGAGAGCCAGAACACA
Molecule: long non-coding RNA, 13547 nt
Organism: Sapajus apella (tufted capuchin)
Lineage: Eukaryota; Metazoa; Chordata; Mammalia; Primates; Cebidae
Exons: 7
Source: RefSeq, a predicted model, not a curated record